This 30-nucleotide non-coding RNA is filed under the name Mus musculus (house mouse). Lineage: Eukaryota; Metazoa; Chordata; Mammalia; Rodentia; Muridae. The record is from RNAcentral.
UGCUUUUCAAGGUGGAUGAUAUACCCCAAC